RNAcentral lists this ribosomal RNA (40 nucleotides) under Hypopterygium hookerianum. Its description in RNAcentral is "partial 5.8S ribosomal RNA". The record is from RNAcentral. Lineage: Eukaryota; Viridiplantae; Streptophyta; Bryopsida; Hookeriales; Hypopterygiaceae.
AGAACAACUCUCAGCAACGGAUAUCUUGGCUCUUGCAACG